This is a long non-coding RNA of Oncorhynchus nerka (sockeye salmon), 1768 nucleotides long. RefSeq lists it as uncharacterized. Lineage: Eukaryota; Metazoa; Chordata; Actinopteri; Salmoniformes; Salmonidae. The record is from RefSeq and is a predicted model, not a curated record. The transcript has 2 exons.
CCAUAACUGGCUCGCAGAUCAGAUCGGUAGUAAUGGUAAGAUAAAUUGCCAUUCCACAUGAGGAAGUUUGCCGACUUCUUAUAUAGCCUAUUACUGGCAACUUCAGGAGCUUAACUGCAGAAUCUGCAAAAUCCAGGAGGAUGGUCGGGGCAGGUUUUUUUAUUUUCUUCUGGUUAUCUUGAUCUCUGACUCCCUCUUGAGUCAUUUGUGUCUUAUUUCAUCAAACAGUGAGCUUAAAGCAUCAGACAAGUUCAAUGCAUAUAUAGUUGAUUUUAUUGAGACGCAUAGGGUGUGUCUAUAUAUGGAGAAAUACACGUUCAAAAAUUGACUGGUCAAACGAUUGGUCGAAAGAACAGACCUUCAGCGAUCCAGUAUUUUAUUUUUCGGGGACAGCCCUAUACUGUAGGUAAUAGCGAAUAUUUUACCAUCUUAUAACUAAUAUCGUAUAUGAUUUAGGUUUCAGGUUUUACAUGAAAAUGCUGUCAUUAUGGACUGGUAAUUAGUGUAUACUGAUAAAUGAGGCACCCAAGUAGACCUCAGUAGUAGAUUGAAAUCUCUUGGUUCUCUCUCUUUAUUUUCCUCUCCCUUUAUUUUUCUCUCUUCUUCUUACCUGCUAUUUCUCUUUCUCUAUCUGGCAUCGUCGUCGUCCGUCCCCCCCCCCCCCCCCCCGGUGGUCUAGCUGGCUCCUAGGGAGAAGGCAGCUGUGAACUACAGCCAGAAGCUGAAGGAGAAGUUCCAGCACCACCCUCAGAUCCGCCGCAUCUCGCGCCACCGCCACCUGCCCAAGUCCAUCUACAGCCAGAGCAAGGAGCUGCGUGUCAUGAAGGAGGCUCGCCGCAGGAAGGAGAGGAACGUACGCAAGCACAGCAAGCCUGGCUCCAUGCCCGUGGUGACGGAGAAAGAGAAACAUGUGGUCACCGUGGUGAAAUAGAAGGAACAUCGACGCCAGUGACCGUGUGGCAUUGGAGGACUGAAGGACUACUCUCUCUCUACACACACCUGGGCCAUGUUCAGAAACACACAACUAAUGUUGCAAAAUGUCAGUACGUUUCCCCAAAUUAUCUGGUUUUCCAGAAAUUCCAGAUACCUGGAUUUCCUGCUUGUUCCCUCAUGAUUCCAGGACACAGGAGGUUGGUGGCAUCUUAAUUGGGGAGGAUGGGCUCGCGGUAAUAACGGGAGCAGAAUGGGAUCAAAUACAUGGUUUCCAUGUGUUUGAUGUCAUUCCAUUUGCUCCGUUCCGGCUAUUAUUAUGAGCCGUCCUCCCCUCAGCAGCCUCUUGUGUUCGGGAUUUCUGACAAACCUGGCUAUUUGGGAAAGAUACCGGAUUUUUGCAACCCUGCACACAACAUUAUGUGUCCCUUCAGUUAUAUUCAUGACAUUCUAAUCCGCAACUGUCAAAAGGCUGCACCCUCCUGAACACAACUCUAUGGAAGACUCUGAAAGAACUCAUUCCACCUCUCCAAGGCUUAUUACAAAUGACAACUAUGGGUCAAUAUUGUGAAGUUUGUUUAUUUUGGGAUGUUAUUGUAUCGAAAUGAGAAUACACUAGAAACCAAGAAGAACGACAUCCGUCAAAUAUCACCAGAACAUUUGAGUAUUUUAGGAACCAUCUUGAAAAUGUUUGGCCUCCCUACACCACCACAUACCUUCAGCUAUUGUGUGUGUACUGAUUCAGUAACCUAGAAGAUUGCAUGAUGCUAAGGAUUGUUUCUAUUGAUACUGUUUUUUGUAUUUAUUGAUACACCGCUAAUAAAGAUGCUGUAUGAUA